This 447-nucleotide ribosomal RNA is filed under the name uncultured bacterium. Its description in RNAcentral is "bacterial SSU rRNA". It matches the Rfam family "Bacterial small subunit ribosomal RNA", at positions 355 to 825 of the family's 1533-position model. The record is from RNAcentral.
UCGGGAAUUUUGGGCAAUGGGCGAAAGCCUGACCCAGCAACGCCGCGUGAAGGAUGAAGUAUUUCGGUAUGUAAACUUCGUAAGAAUAGGAAGAGUAAAUGACGGUACUAUUUGUAAGGUCCGGCUAACUACGUGCCAGCAGCCGCGGUAAUACGUAGGGACCAAGCGUUGUUCGGAUUUACUGGGCGUAAAGGGCGCGUAGGCGGUGUGUCAAGUCAGUUGUGAAAUCUCCGAGCUUAACUCGGAACGGUCAACUGAUACUGUCACACUAGAGUACAGAAGGGGCAAUUGGAAUUCUUGGUGUAGCGGUGAAAUGCGUAGAUAUCAAGAGGAACACCUGAGGCGAAGGCGGGUUGCUGGGCUGAUACUGACGCUGAGGCGCGAAAGCUAGGGUAGCAAACGGGAUUAGAUACCCAAGUAGUCCCUGAGCGGGCUGGCAAGGCGCAU